UACGUAGGGGGCGAGCGUUGUCCGGAUUCACUGGGCGUAAAGCGCGCGUAGGCGGCUCGUUAAGUCGGAUGUGAAAUCUCGGGGCUUAACUCCGAACCUGCAUUCGAUACUGCCGUGCUUGAGGACUGGAGAGGAGACUGGAAUUUACGGUGUAGCGGUGAAAUGCGUAGAUAUCGUAAGGAAGACCAGUGGCGAAGGCGGGUCUCUGGACAGUUCCUGACGCUGAGGCACGAAGGCCAGGGGAGCAAACGGG
RNAcentral lists this ribosomal RNA (253 nucleotides) under uncultured bacterium. Its description in RNAcentral is "partial 16S ribosomal RNA". It matches the Rfam family "Bacterial small subunit ribosomal RNA", at positions 524 to 776 of the family's 1533-position model. The record is from RNAcentral.